UCCACCGAAAAAUCUUUUUGUUGCUUCGCUAGUAAUUUGGCCAUAUUGGCUGCCACCAAUAACUUUUAUUAAUUUUUUUUUGAGAAAAAAGUAGCAUGCUAUUCGUUUCAUUCAUUUAGCAAAUAAAUUUAACUACAGGGUUUGAGGUAAUGUGACCUAAAAAAAUAUUAAAAGUAAACAAAAUAAAAAAUACAAAUAAAAGCAACGAGGAAAAGUCGUAAAAAAAUUACUAAUUCUACUCCUCACUCAAGAUCAAAAUCAAAGUCAUAGAAA
RNAcentral lists this long non-coding RNA (273 nucleotides) under Ananas comosus (pineapple). RNAcentral's name for it is "long non-coding RNA (ACOM_LNC036651)". The record is from RNAcentral. Lineage: Eukaryota; Viridiplantae; Streptophyta; Magnoliopsida; Poales; Bromeliaceae.